UAAUUAAGCUACGUUGCGCUUUUUGGAAUGGACGAGAACUGUACAUGCCUUCUAAAGUCUCUACUCUAACACGGAAGCCCUUGGCAUUGUGUCCACGACGUACCGACAGCAGUCGAGCACAGCACUCUACAACAGAAUUCACUGCGUUGCUCGCGUUGGGAACAGUGAUCAACGGUAGUAAUUCAACCCGUGAAAUCACUCUGACGGCCUCGAUUAGGCCUCCUUCCACCCCUACUGCAGUUCAGGAGUACCGGGAAUACUCGUCCCGAAGUGUGCAGUAUGUUACCAUUCAUGUCUCCCUUCGCUUCGCCGCUGCACCUCGUUUAGAGUAUUUUGAAUAGCAUCAGGCCUAGCAUCAGACGUUGAGCUGAUGCACUUCAGCCUUAGCGAUCAUUAGCGUCUAGUCGUACGAC
This 413-nucleotide ribosomal RNA is filed under the name uncultured bacterium. RNAcentral describes it as "partial 16S rRNA". The record is from RNAcentral.